GGGGGCGCGUGGAUUCGACAGGGGAGGUAUGCUGCGGAAUUGCAAGCUGAGGUGCCACUAUCUCAAUAAACAGGUGGCAAAAAACAACUGCCGAAGAUGCAGUUCUAGUUGCUGCCUAGUUAAAUAGGCAACACAUCCAACCAGGCCUCUCCUCGACGGGCCGGGAUUGGGUGACGAUUAGUCGAGGUGCCGCCGCCCCAAUGUCGAUAAGGGCGGUGAAAGAAUAAUCGGCUGGCUUGGCUAAACUCGGUCAGCAGAGGUUAGCCGGGUAAGAUAAAAGAGCUGGCUAAGCUUGUAGUAAAUUCUGGGUAGCUUCUCUUGGACGGGGAGUUCGACUCUCCCCCGCCUCCACCA
RNAcentral lists this transfer-messenger RNA (354 nucleotides) under Dehalococcoidales bacterium. It matches the Rfam family "transfer-messenger RNA". From Rfam's summary of the family: Bacterial tmRNA, also known as 10Sa RNA or SsrA, is named for its dual tRNA and mRNA-like properties. Its role is to liberate the mRNA from a stalled ribosome. The record is from RNAcentral. Lineage: Bacteria; Bacillati; Chloroflexota; Dehalococcoidia; Dehalococcoidales.